Molecule: ribosomal RNA, 253 nt
Filed under: uncultured bacterium
Lineage: Bacteria
Description: partial 16S ribosomal RNA
Rfam family: Bacterial small subunit ribosomal RNA
Source: RNAcentral
UACGAAGGGUGCAAACGUUGCUCGGAAUCAUUGGGCGUAAAGCGCACGUAGGCGGCUUGGCAAGUCGGAUGUGAAAUCCCUCGGCUCAACCGAGGAAGUGCAUCCGAAACUGCUGAGCUUGAGUACUUAAGAGGAUCGCGGAAUUCCCGGUGUAGAGGUGGAAUUCGUAGAUAUCGGGAGGAACACCAGUGGCGAAGGCGGCGAUCUGGGAAGAUACUGACGCUGAGGUGCGAAAGCGUGGGGAGCAAACAGG